RNAcentral lists this ribosomal RNA (484 nucleotides) under uncultured bacterium. Its description in RNAcentral is "partial 16S ribosomal RNA". It matches the Rfam family "Bacterial small subunit ribosomal RNA", at positions 30 to 507 of the family's 1533-position model. The record is from RNAcentral.
AUUGAACGCUGGCGGCAUGCCUAACACAUGCAAGUCGAGCGGAUGAACGGAGCUUUUUCCUGUAUUCAGCUACGGACGGGUGAGUAAUUCCUAGGAGUCUACCUGAUAGUUGGGGAUAACAUCCCUAAGCGGGCGCUGAUACCGCAUACGUCCUUAUGUUGAAAGUGGGGGAUCUUCGGACCUCACGCUAUCAGCUGACACUAGGUCGGAUUAGCUAGUUGGUUGGGUAAAGGCCUACCAAGGCGACGAUCCGUAACUGGUCUGAGAGGAUGAUCAGUCACACUGGAACUGAGACACGGUCCAGACUCCUACGGGAGGCAGCAGUGGGGAAUAUUGGACAAUGGGCGAAAGCCUGAUCCAGCCACGCCGCGUGUGUGAAGAAGGUCUUCGGAUUGUAAAGUACUUUAAGUUGGGAGGAAGGGAAGUAAGUUAAUACCUUGCUGUCUUGACGUUACCAACAGAAUAAGCACCGGCUAACUUCGUG